GCAUAUCAAUAAGCGGAGGAAAAGAAACCAACAGGGAUUGCCCUAGUAACGGCGAGUGAAGCGGCAACAGCUCAAAUUUGAAAUCUGGCUCUUUCAGGGUCCGAGUUGUAAUUUGCAGAGGGCGCUUUGGCGUUGGCAGCGGUCCAAGUUCUUUGGAACAGGACGUCACAGAGGGUGAGAAUCCCGUACGUGGUCGCUAGCCUUCGCCGUGUAAAGCCCCUUCGACGAGUCGAGUUGUUUGGGAAUGCAGCUCUAAAUGGGAGGUAAAUUUCUUCUAAAGCUAAAUACUGGCCAGAGACCGAUAGCGCACAAGUAGAGUGAUCGAAAGAUGAAAAGCACUUUGGAAAGAGAGUCAAAUAGCACGUGAAAUUGUUGAAAGGGAAGCGCUUGCAGCCAGACUUGCCUGUAGUUGCUUAUCUGGACUUUUGUCCGGUGCACUCUUCUGCGGGCAGGCCAGCAUCAGUUUGGGCGGUUGGAUAAAGGUCUCUGUCAUGUACCUCCUUUCGGGGAGGCCUUAUAGGGGAGACGACAUGCAACCAGCCUGGACUGAGGUCCGCGCAUCUGCUAGGAUGCUGGCGUAAUGGCUGUAAGCGGCCCGUCUUGAAACACGGACCAAGGAGUCUAACAUCUAUGCGAUGUUUGGGUG
RNAcentral lists this ribosomal RNA (646 nucleotides) under Phaeosphaeriopsis musae. RNAcentral's name for it is "LSU rRNA". It matches the Rfam family "Eukaryotic large subunit ribosomal RNA", at positions 38 to 700 of the family's 3401-position model. The record is from RNAcentral. Lineage: Eukaryota; Fungi; Ascomycota; Dothideomycetes; Pleosporales; Phaeosphaeriaceae.